GGUUAAGCGACUAAGCGUACACGGUGGAUGCCCUGGCAGUCAGAGGCGAUGAAGGACGUGCUAAUCUGCGAAAAGCGUCGGUAAGGUGAUAUGAACCGUUACAGCCGGCGAUGUCCGAAUGGGGAAACCCAGUGCAAUUCGUUGCACUAUCGUUUGAUGAAUACAUAGUCAAACGAGGCGAACCGGGGGAACUGAAACAUCUAAGUACCCCGAGGAAAAGAAAUCAACCGAGAUUCCCCCAGUAGCGGCGAGCGAACGGGGAGCAGCCCGGAGUCUGAAUCAGCUUGUGUGUUAGUGGAAGCGUCUGGAAAGUCGCAGGGUACAGGGUGAUACUCCCGUACACUAAAACACACAGGCUGUGAACUCGAAGAGUAGGGCGGGACACGUGGUAUCCUGUCUGAAUAUGGGGGGACCAUCCUCCAAGGCUAAAUACUCCUGACUGACCGAUAGUGAACCAGUACCGUGAGGGAAAGGCGAAAAGAACCCCGGCGAGGGGAGUGAAAAAGAACCUGAAACCGUGUACGUACAAGCAGUAGGAGCCCACUAGUUGGGUGACUGCGUACCUUUUGUAUAAUGGGUCAGCGACUUAUAUUCUGUAGCAAGGUUAACCGUAUAGGGGAGCCGCAGGGAAACCGAGUCUUAACUGGGCGUUAAGUUGCAGGGUAUAGACCCGAAACCCGGUGAUCUAGCCAUGGGCAGGUUGAAGGUUGGGUAACACUAACUGGAGGACCGAACCGACUAAUGUUGAAAAAUUAGCGGAUGACUUGUGGCUGGGGGUGAAAGGCCAAUCAAACCGGGAGAUAGCUGGUUCUCCCCGAAAGCUAUUUAGGUAGCGCCUCGUGAAUUCAUCUUCGGGGGUAGAGCACUGUUUCGGCUAGGGGGUCAUCCCGACUUACCAACCCGAUGCAAACUACGAAUACCGAAGAAUGUUAUCACGGGAGACACACGGCGGGUGCUAACGUCCGUCGUGAAGAGGGAAACAACCCAGACCGCCAGCUAAGGUCCCAAAGUCAUGGUUAAGUGGGAAACGAUGUGGGAAGGCCCAGACAGCCAGGAUGUUGGCUUAGAAGCAGCCAUCAUUUAAAGAAAGCGUAAUAGCUCACUGGUCGAGUCGGCCUGCGCGGAAGAUGUAACGGGGCUAAACCAUGCACCGAAGCUGCGGCAGCGACGCUUAUGCGUUGUUGGGUAGGGGAGCGUUCUGUAAGCCGUUGAAGGUGGCCUGUGAGGGUUGCUGGAGGUAUCAGAAGUGCGAAUGCUGACAUAAGUAACGAUAAUGCGGGUGAAAAACCCGCACGCCGGAAGACCAAGGGUUCCUGUCCAACGUUAAUCGGGGCAGGGUGAGUCGACCCCUAAGGCGAGGCCGAAAGGCGUAGUCGAUGGGAAACAGGUUAAUAUUCCUGUACUUGGUGUUACUGCGAAGGGGGGACGGAGAAGGCUAUGUUGGCCGGGCGACGGUUGUCCCGGUUUAAGCAUGUAGGCGGAUGUUCCAGGUAAAUCCGGAACGUUACUAACGCUGAGGUGUGAUGACGAGGCACUACGGUGCUGAAGUGACAAAUGCCCUGCUUCCAGGAAAAGCCUCUAAGCAUCAGGUAACAUCAAAUCGUACCCCAAACCGACACAGGUGGUCAGGUAGAGAAUACCAAGGCGCUUGAGAGAACUCGGGUGAAGGAACUAGGCAAAAUGGUGCCGUAACUUCGGGAGAAGGCACGCUGAUGGUAGGUGAAGUGACUUGCUCACGGAGCUGAAAUCAGUCGAAGAUACCAGCUGGCUGCAACUGUUUAUUAAAAACACAGCACUGUGCAAACACGAAAGUGGACGUAUACGGUGUGACGCCUGCCCGGUGCCGGAAGGUUAAUUGAUGGGGUUAUCCUCACGGAGAAGCUCUUGAUCGAAGCCCCGGUAAACGGCGGCCGUAACUAUAACGGUCCUAAGGUAGCGAAAUUCCUUGUCGGGUAAGUUCCGACCUGCACGAAUGGCGUAAUGAUGGCCAGGCUGUCUCCACCCGAGACUCAGUGAAAUUGAACUCGCUGUGAAGAUGCAGUGUACCCGCGGCAAGACGGAAAGACCCCGUGAACCUUUACUAUAGCUUGACACUGAACACUGGUCCUUGAUGUGUAGGAUAGGUGGGAGGCUUUGAAGUGUGGACGCCAGUCUGCAUGGAGCCAUCCUUGAAAUACCACCCUUUAAUGGCUGGUGUUCUAACGUGGGCCCGUAAUCCGGGUUGCGGACAGUGUCUGGUGGGUAGUUUGACUGGGGCGGUCUCCUCCUAAAGAGUAACGGAGGAGCACGAAGGUCAGCUAAUCCUGGUCGGACAUCAGGAGGUUAGUGCAAUGGCAUAAGCUGGCUUGACUGCGAGCGUGACGGCGCGAGCAGGUGCGAAAGCAGGUCAUAGUGAUCCGGUGGUUCUGAAUGGAAGGGCCAUCGCUCAACGGAUAAAAGGUACUCCGGGGAUAACAGGCUGAUACCGCCCAAGAGUUCAUAUCGACGGCGGUGUUUGGCACCUCGAUGUCGGCUCAUCACAUCCUGGGGCUGAAGUAGGUCCCAAGGGUAUGGCUGUUCGCCAUUUAAAGUGGUACGCGAGCUGGGUUUAGAACGUCGUGAGACAGUUCGGUCCCUAUCUGCCGUGGGCGCUGGAGAAUUGAGGGGGGCUGCUCCUAGUACGAGAGGACCGGAGUGGACGCAUCACUGGUGUUCGGGUUGUCAUGCCAAUGGCAUUGCCCGGUAGCUAAAUGCGGAAGAGAUAAGUGCUGAAAGCAUCUAAGCACGAAACUUGCCCCGAGAUGAGUUCUCCCUGACUCCUUGAGAGUCCUGAAGGAACGUUGAAGACGACGACGUUGAUAGGCCGGGUGUGUAAGCGCAGCGAUGCGUUGAGCUAACCGGUACUAAUGAACCGUGAGGCUUAACCUU
RNAcentral lists this ribosomal RNA (2907 nucleotides) under Klebsiella oxytoca. Its description in RNAcentral is "23S ribosomal RNA". It matches the Rfam family "Bacterial large subunit ribosomal RNA". Lineage: Bacteria; Pseudomonadati; Pseudomonadota; Gammaproteobacteria; Enterobacterales; Enterobacteriaceae. The record is from RNAcentral.